Molecule: ribosomal RNA, 254 nt
Filed under: uncultured bacterium
Lineage: Bacteria
Description: partial 16S ribosomal RNA
Rfam family: Bacterial small subunit ribosomal RNA
Source: RNAcentral
CACGUAGGGGGCGAGCGUUGUCCGGAUUUAUUGGGCGUAAAGAGCUCGUAGGCGGCUCGGUAAGUCAGGUGUGAAAACUCUAGGCUCAACCUAGAGACGCCACCUGAUACUGCCGUGGCUAGAGUCCGGUAGGGGAGCAUGGAAUUCCUGGUGUAGCGGUGAAAUGCGCAGAUAUCAGGAAGAACACCUAUGGCGAAGGCAGCUCUCUGGGACGGUACUGACGCUGAGACGCGAAAGCGUGGGGAGCGAACAGG